Sinocyclocheilus grahami is the source of this 276-nucleotide long non-coding RNA. RefSeq lists it as uncharacterized. Lineage: Eukaryota; Metazoa; Chordata; Actinopteri; Cypriniformes; Cyprinidae. The transcript is spliced from 3 exons. The record is from RefSeq and is a predicted model, not a curated record.
UUCUCUCCUAUUAUCUGAGUGGCUGCAGGUACUGGUGUCUGCCUCUAUGCCUCUGUGCCAGAGGGAUAAAGAGGGAAAGAAAGAGGACUAGUGCUUCAUAUCCCCCCUUUGGCCUCCCCGUCUCCCUGCUCCCUGCCACUCCAUCCUUCCUUCCUCCCUCCUGGACCACCCGUCAGCGGCUUGAUCAACCUGCCCGGACCCUCCUCCCACAACCCCUUUGACUAUCCUCACUUCACCGUCCCGUCUUCUGAACUGUGUGCAGAAGCUUGGUUUGGA